Molecule: ribosomal RNA, 253 nt
Filed under: uncultured bacterium
Lineage: Bacteria
Description: partial 16S ribosomal RNA
Rfam family: Bacterial small subunit ribosomal RNA
Source: RNAcentral
UACGUAGGGUGCGAGCGUUAAUCGGAAUUACUGGGCGUAAAGUGUGCGCAGGCGGCCAACUAAGUCGGACGUGAAAUCCCCAGGCUCAACCUGGGAACUGCGUCCGAUACUGGAUGGCUUGAAUCCGGGAGAGGGAUGCAGAAUUCCAGGUGUAGCGGUGAAAUGCGUAGAUAUCUGGAGGAAUACCGGUGGCGAAGGCGGCAUCCUGGACCGGCAUUGACGCUGAGGAGCGAAAGCCAGGGGAGCAAACGGG